UGACAAUGGCUACAUUGCGGGCAA
This 24-nucleotide non-coding RNA is filed under the name Mus musculus (house mouse). Lineage: Eukaryota; Metazoa; Chordata; Mammalia; Rodentia; Muridae. The record is from RNAcentral.